Molecule: unclassified non-coding RNA, 615 nt
Filed under: Sordariomycetes sp. 8 KO-2013
Lineage: Eukaryota; Fungi; Ascomycota; Sordariomycetes
Description: partial contains ITS1, 5.8S rRNA and ITS2
Rfam family: 5.8S ribosomal RNA (bases 213-366)
Source: RNAcentral
AGGGAUCAUUACCGAGUCUUCGUGCUCAAAACAACCCUUCUGUGGACUUGAAUAAAACCGUUGCCUCGGCAGGCGGCCCUACCUAACGGGCCAGAUAGCUCGGCUGCCUUCAGGGAGGCUUUCCUCCCUGAGGCGCUGGCGCCAGCCGCUGGCCCCAAACCAAAACUCUAGUAACUUUUACCUUCUGAGUUUUAAUGCAAGAAAUAAGUCAAAACUUUCAACAACGGAUCUCUUGGCUCUGGCAUCGAUGAAGAACGCAGCGAAAUGCGAUAAGUAAUGUGAAUUGCAGAAUUCAGUGAAUCAUCGAAUCUUUGAACGCACAUUGCGCCCGCUGGUAUUCCAGCGGGCAUGCCCGUUCGAGCGUCAUUUUAAUUCCUUCCCAGGAGGGAGCUUCUGUUUCUACAGAGGUUUCUGCUAGGGGUGUUGGCACCUGGCGCCGCCUAGGCGACCGGAGCCCAAAUGCAGUGGCGGACGCGCAAGCGGUCCCUAGCGCAGUAAACAAAAACUUCGCUCAGGAGGCUCGCAGCAGCGGACCACAGCCUAACGCAAAAAGCUUUUGGUUUUUUGCAACAAAAACUUGACCUCGGAUCGGGUAGGACUACCCGCUGAACUUAA